UCAAGUGAGACAGAGUGUGCAUAGACGGAGGGUCACGGGCCUGCAAGUUACUGAGGAGCUAAUCUGGAUACUAUGGGGUUCACAUCCAGAGAACCUGGCGGACUCAGGGAUCCUGAGGGUGAAGGGAGAGCGCGUCCAGGGAAGCACGUGUACCGCAGAGGUAACCAAGGGGAUGCUAGCCAUGGAGCUCGGACCCUGCCGUUUUGCUGUUUCAGCACAAGUCAGGAAGCGAUCAUCAUGUAGCCAUGGGAAUCAACGAGUGCAGAGGAAAUGUUGCAGGGGAAUAAUGGAGCCAACUCGCUCAACUCCACAAAAAUUGGUCACAUCCUAAAACAAUGAAAGAACAGGUAUCCAAAGGCUCUUAAAGGAAGUUCAGUGUUUUGACAGUAACUUUUGCUGUAAGUGAAGGAAUUCCAGAGUGCUAAAGCAUUUGUAAAAUGUGAACUAAGCCUGUUGCUCAUUCUCACUCUUUCAUCUCAAUAACCCUAAUGUCCCCUUGCCACAGUAUUCCCGUUCUAUCAAUAAACUCUUAGUUUAAGUGACUUUCCAAA
Mesocricetus auratus (golden hamster) is the source of this 551-nucleotide long non-coding RNA. RefSeq lists it as uncharacterized. Lineage: Eukaryota; Metazoa; Chordata; Mammalia; Rodentia; Cricetidae. The transcript has 2 exons. The record is from RefSeq and is a predicted model, not a curated record.